Molecule: long non-coding RNA, 7748 nt
Filed under: Patiria miniata (bat star)
Lineage: Eukaryota; Metazoa; Echinodermata; Asteroidea; Valvatida; Asterinidae
Description: uncharacterized LOC119723630
Source: RNAcentral
UUGAUUGCAGAGUGUUUACAAAGAUUGGCUGUGCGGGUUAUCCUUUGAUUUCUACCAUAAAGGACGACUCAUCAAGCCGUGUUUGGACUUUUGUUACAUAACCUCAAGGAAAUGCCCCUUUUUGUUACCAGCAGUACACUACUGUGGGAUGCAGAGUUACUUCUGCCCGCAGUAUCGGGACCUUAAAAUGAAUGAAAAUUCUACAUAUGCCCACGAAGCACCGUGUUUUCAGUGUUCCUACAACACAAACUAUAAAUUUGGCACACAGUGCGAAGAAAUACUGACCAAUCAAACGGAUCCAAGGGGCACGGCCAGCUCAACCAAAGCAUCUGUAACAAGCCUCCUGAUUGGACAAUUAGCCGUGCUGUGGAUUUGGAGAACACUGUUUGACCUCCCGCCGGGAUUUGCAUAGGAGGAGGAGGAGGCCCCGCCCCCUUUGUGGCAGGUGCCAGCGAACCUCAAUUUCUUUUGUUGGUGUGAUUGACAUGUCCGAGUUGGAUGUUGUAUCUGGGAGGCAUCCUCGUCCACUGUCCAUCAUGUGCAGGUAGCGUUACCAUGGCGACCUGCUCAUCUGCGGGCUUUUGGAAACGUCAGAUGCUUUGUAUCGUCUUUGGUUGCUUUUUUUACAUUCGCCUGCAUUAUUUGUAUCAUUUAAUCGGCAUGACUUGGUAGUUUGUUAAUUAGCCGGCCUCUCAAGGCUUAGCUUAUGGAUAAAUAAGACGAGAUUUUUCAACAAUUACAUUUUGGCACUAUAAGCAAUGAUCCAUUAUACGUGACCCAUCCUGAUCCAAAUGUGAAGUCCAAUCUAAAGCAAGAUAAACAGAGCUGAAUCUUUGGUCAAAUCAACUAGGUUUUUCUUUCUUUCAAGUUGACAAGAAACACCUUAAAAAAAAAGAGUAUUUUAUGAAGUCACUUCAAAGACUGUACAUUCUGAAUUCAUACUCUGUCGUUUACACAAACGAGUAAAUGAUUUCAGCAUUACGUCGUAUACAGAACAAGAUCAACUGGCAAACACCACAUUGUAAAUCUGUCGCCCUAUUCGUCCACGAUUCCUCCACAUCCGAAUUGUUUAAAACGGCAGGUUUUUUUUUUUUUUUCCCUUCCCUGACAUCAUUUUGCCUGAAGUGUUUGUUGGUGAUGAGGCUCAAGAAUGUAUCAAUCGACCCGGGUCUUAUUAUGCAGAAAGAAGAAAGCCGUCCCUGCGCCCAAUAACGCGAUGUCGAAAGGCAAUCCGUAGACAUCUCAUUAUCCGUCCCUUCCCUCUUGAUUAUUUGCACACAGUCAACUUAUGACCUCAACUCACUCCCCCCCCCCCCAACUCACUUGCGCGCAUACUGAAUUCCUGUAUAUCAAUAAGGCGUUUUAAUAUGGGUGGAUUCGGACGUGAAUGCUGCUCGACUAGUCUGGGAUCAUUGUCGUAGAAUGGUUCAUUAUGUUCAACAGAACGGUGCCAAACAAAAAAGGAGAUGCGCUGUACUUGAUUCAGUUUUCUUUCAUUUGGGAGAAAAUUGGUGAAAAAAAAUUCGGGUUUGGCUGGGAUUUGUCAAGCCAAAGUUAUUUGGAUCUUGGGGUAUAUACAUGUAUGUGCAUGCAAAUUCUGGAUAGGUCUCAAAAAUUAAUUCGCAGUAAAAGGGAAAAAAAGAGAAAACAUACAAAUUUUGAUAGGCCGACCUCUUUUGCAAAUAAAGUAAAAGCAAAGGGAAAAACAUUGAAUACAAUUUUUUUAAAACAUGCAAAGUCAAAGAAAAUGUUGGUGGAUCUCAGAAGAGGUCAGAUGCACUUUAUUGGAAUUCUGUUUAUCUUGCUUACGUCUCUGGCUUCACAUGACUCAAAAUGUUGGAGACUACCUUGUCCGUGAUUGGUCAGUUCAUGUUCUGAGGUUGAUGGACCAUUUUUUGAAAAAUUGAAAAUAAAAGAAGGAUAAAAGUGUUGAAUGUAGGUUGGUUUUUUUUAUAAACAAUAUGCUUCUUGUUGACUAUAGAAUAUAUUAAUUCAUGAAUUGUUCUGGAUUUUUUUUUUUUUGUAAACUGGAGUAAAAUUUGGUAGUUUUUUUUAAAAUACCAAUGGGAAGAUAAAAUUUGAAUACUGGCGCAUGAGUUAAAUUAUUCAAAACAGAACAUUCAGUUGUCAGUGGUUAUAAGGUUAGCAGUGGUAAAAAAAAAAAAAAGAUAAGAAAUGCAGAAUAUAAUAUUACUACAAGACACCCCAAUAUUCAGUACUCCUAAAAAGGUUUUAAAAACAUCUUGAGUGAGUACAGGAAACUGGACAGGUAUUUCUUAUUUCUGCGAUACCUUCCUAAGACGUCACUACUCAUGAAUUAAAGCUCACGAUGAGACUGAAUUCACGCUGGGCCCGUAGCUUAACCACAUGACCAGGAUUCCCAGAAUCCCUUGCAGUUAUGUGACCUUUAGAACAUCAAUCAACAUUCGUCAGUCCACAGCGCCAGACGCAAGCUCAAAACCACGCUAUGACAGUACUACUCCCCAUCGCUACCAACACACACAAAAAAUAUGGGUCGAUCUUUUCUUCUUUUUUUAAUUCAUAAAUUUGAAGCCGUAUCUAAUCAUAUAUAUUACUGAGAUCACGUAGUGCAUAUGUCGCUUUUAUAUAUUUAUUUGUAAUAGUAAGUCAAUUUAUUUGGUUUUAAUUUUCCACGAGCAUGUUGAUACUAUUGUUAUAAAUCGGCUUGUAGAUCAUGUUUGAUGUAUUUUUUAAAACGGGGGACGGAAAUUUAAACUGUAAGUUAACGUAAAAACGUAUCCGGUAAUAUUUUUUUUGCUACGUAAGUAUUUAUUUUUCUUCUGUGAAACAGAUGAGAUGGAGUAUCAGUGGAAUGCUAGUGGUGAGACGAGUCGGGUAUUUUGGCUGUCGCAUACACGUUUGUUAUACUCACACAGGUACUAUAUAGAGGACUAUAUGGGAAGUAUUCAUAUAGAUAUAUUAUAAUAUUGUUACACAUGAUAGUCGCAUACUCUAGAUCAGGCAAGAUAGCGUGGUAUGGUUGGCUUGGAGUCGGCAAAUGCGGAACAGUAAAAAAUUUAACGCAGAAAUUUUAUUUUAAUACUACUCCACUAUCUAAUAACUUUUUACAUAAAUACAUAUACAAUGUAUUAAUAGUGACCACACCAGGCUGAGGUGAAAUGCAUUGAAAUACACACGGAAAACUCUUCAGGUUGGCGUAGCGGUACUUUCCUCGCCUUCCACUGCUGUGGCCCGGGUUCGAAUCCCGCCUGGGCCAACAUGUGCAUUGGGUUUUCAGUCCCUACCUGUAUCCGUGGGUUUUUCCCGCAACAUUCUUCAGGGUUUUUCCACCCACCUCUAAAACUGUAAUUUCUUCUCAUUGUCUCCUCUCCACAAGUUUCGUAGGCUUGCGAGCUACAGUACCUAGGGCACUUUUGAGGAAUCCUUGGUUUCAUAACCAGAAAUAAUAUAAUAAUAAAUAAUUACAGUAAUGUACAGUAAUUAGUUUUUUUUUCAUAGAUGCACAAAAACCGCUAUUCUUCUUUAUCACAUUCACAUGUGACAGAAUAGUUUCUGAUGCAAUGAAAUGUCUUUGUUUUUCUGUCGCUCCCCAUAUAAGGGUAUUUCACAUUGCGUUAGACUUGAAACUCAAACAGAUGACUUGAAUGCUAAAAAUAAUGAAUGCAGAGGAGCAUAUCAAUAUACUUCUUCAGAUCUUUUCAAAUGACUUGAGUAUGGGCUCCGUGCACAAGUACCCCCUCAACGGCCAGAAAAGGAGAGUUGGGGGAGACCUACACUGGUUCCCGGCCCAUCCACUGCUCAUUUUGAAUGAUCCAAAGUUAUUUGGGCAGGGAUUAGUCUGGGAGACUAUCGAAAGAUCAAUUCGAACGCAUUCAAGCCUGACGCUCACGCGAAGACGCUGUGGCUAAUAGCUUUGGCACAUUCAGGUAGUCGUGCGUACAUCGUGCGCUAACCAGUACGUUACGCACACGCCAUGUGUCCUGUCCACGGGGUUCUCAAAAGUGUUUAAAAAAGCGCCCUCUUUUGUUGGCGCCCGGAGCCCAUUGUAAGCUGGGCUUCGGUUACGAUUGUUCCUCUCUGUAAAGAUAUUCAGAAAUCACAGAACAUCAAGACAACUUCUGAAAAGCUGUUUUAUUUUAACAUAUUUGAAGUAGGUACUAAAAAAACUAUCGGUUUACUAAAAAAAAAUCAAACCAGACAAUCAACCAAUCACAAAGGACGAUGCAGUUUGCCGACUCCAAAUCGGACCAAUCAGAAUGGCUGUUAUAUAGACCCUGAUACCUAGGUUGUAAAUGCCAUCUCCCUGUAUAUGAUGCUGGACACAGUAAUGAACAAAACAAAAAAAUUGUUAAGUAUUUGGUGUGGGGGUGGUCUGAUACCCAGUGCUGUGCACUGGGACGCUUGCACCCUUGACGUAGCCACCCACCCCGUACCCUCAUUGUGCGAGACGUCGUCGUUUGUAUAUACAUAUUAUUAUCCCCAUGUAGACACGAUUGGAAUAACUUGUGACUUUGUAUGCAGAACAAGGAUUUAUCUUUAAAAAAAAAAAAAAAGGGAAGAAAAUAGCCCACAGAAUCAAGAGUCAUAAAUUAAAAAAAAGAAAAAUCAGGUAAUUGUAGAUUUGAAAUAUUGUUUCCCUAAUACCGUGUUUAAAUAAGGGUUAUUUUAGUUUGAAAAGGUUAAAACAUUGUGGGAAACAUGGCAGGAUUUAAUUUUUUUUUUUUUUCACUGAGUGUGUAUACACGGGUUGAUUUUCUAGAAUAAAUUAUGAUUAUUCUCUGAAGCCAUUGCAACAUGGACAUUUUCAAACUCACGAGGGCGCCAUGUUCAAGGCAAGUAUUGUGGGGGAAACAUUUCAGGAACAAAUGUGUUUUUUUAUUUUAAAAUAAAAAAAUUUAAAAAAUUGAAUAAAGUUUCACCUCAUACAGCUGCCCCAAAAUUUUGAGCUUUUCUUUAUAACUUUAUUUUCAGGAAAAAAACCACUUUGCUGAUACAGUUAUAAAUCCCCUUAUUGUAUGUGUCUUUUUUGAUUCAUUGAAUAUUUGUAACGUAAGUUUUAUACUAUGUAAGUUACAUUUUCUGAUUGUAAACGUGUCAUUUAAGUUCCAUUUAAUUGUGUUUUGUUGCCAAUUUUUCUGAAAAAGAGCCUCUUUAUCUCGCAUUGUAAAUAUUUUAGAAACAAAUAGAGCUCAUUUUAAAAUGUAAAAAAAAAAAAAACACCAAAAAAAUACCCCCACAAGUAGUUGUCAUUUUAAAAAGAAAUUUAAAAAAAAAAAAAAAAUUAAAAAAAAUAAAAAUAAGAAAAAAAUAAUAAAAAUCAUGUCUUUUAGCAGAAUGGUGGUUCUCUGUACCCCAUAGUACCAGGUAAAUGUUCAUUUAUUUAGAAAAGAAAGGCAUUAUUCAAAUUUCACUUCAUGCAAAUUGAUCAAAACAACGUUCAAAUGAUCAUUUCUUACAUUUAGCACAUAAAAAAAAUCAUUCGUAUAAAUAUUCUGUCAUCCAGAAGAAUGAGUCCCAUUCUAAUUCAUUUUACUUAUUCAUUCAUGUGUAACAUUCAUUAUUUAAGAUGAUUUUUUUGUCGGCAAUGCCAAAAAAAAAUAAUAUCGGUGCAUUUGCAACUAUAAGAGAAAAAAAAAAGAUAGAAAAAAAAGCUUAUAAAAGUAAUAAGAAAACAAUUUAAUGUUACGGAAUAUUUAUUGAUAUUAUUUAUUUAUGGCAAAGGAUCUAGACUAUGUGCAUUAAAGACUAUUGUAAAUCAUGUUGUCACUUUAUUUAUCAGUAUUUGAUGGCUGUGAAAAACUGUGUCAUCUUUGGAUCUUUUUGACACAGGCAGGAUAUUUGUACAAACCAUAGACGCCCUGUUUAUAUGAUGUAGUAUUUUGGGGGCCGUCGUCACAGCCUGGAAAAAAAAAAGAUGGAGAAUCCAAGAUAUUAUCGUAGCCACAAAAAAGUUUUUGGGUAUAUGACUGUGUUAGCAUCGUAGGCUGUUUUCUCUCACUGGUUUUUAUGUUGUAGAUAUAUGUGAUAAUUAUGGAAAACAGACCGCUGCGAACGAGUGACUUCUACAGACAAGUACCAACCAGAAGAACUACCUCCAAGCUUUUAUCUAAACCUAUCUUUUUAAGUUUGCAUCAGUACCCCCCCAAGUGACGAUCUUCUUCGGGAACUCAAGGAGGGAGAGGUCUCUCUCGCACCGUAUUGAGAAACUUGGACAACCUCCAGCAGUUAGGAGUUACUACAAGGAAACAAACGCCCCCUACGUGCGUCCACGAAGCAGGACCGAUCUGAGACGGAUGUUUUCAUCUGGAGUGAAGACGCGAGACGCACCAAUCGACGAGUGCAUGACCUUAACAAAACAAGGGCUUCAGAGCUGGAUUUGAAAUGGCUGUCCAAUCUGAGGCUGCAUCCGAAUCAGUUAUCUAGAGCUAGGUCUAGGUCCGGCGCCCAUUGAAAAGACGCGGGGACGCGCCGACAAUAGACGUAGCCGUAGCUCUGGAAGCCUGUUUCGAACACGGCCUGAGACUCUGGUGUGUGAAAUUAGCGUAACAGCAAGGAGCAAGUUUGUGGGAGGACCAUUAGUUGACCAGUGGUUCAUUUGUGACGUAACUUACGCCUGCGCACUUAUAGCAACGCGAAUGUCUCCAGUCAAAAGAUGGUCAAAGGUCCUGGCUCCCCGUUGUGCUUUAUGAUGCGCACAGCUAUUUGUAACCAGCGAGGCCACCAUGCCCAUGCUCUGGUUCCAAAUAGUCAAUUCCAAGGAGUCGACCAUCUUCAGUUCGAGUGAAGUGAGUUGAACUGUGGUUAACUAUAGUUCGCGCCCGAACUUGCUCAAGUGUACUCAAAAUUUGUGAUCCGUCAAAAUGUUGAUCUGGAUCAACAUUUUGACCCGGGUCAAAAGGUUGUCCCAUUUUUGACUCGAGUUAACCUGGGUCAAAAUUUUGACCUCGGUUAAAAUAUUGAUCAGACACAAAGAGGUCAAUCUCGGUCAAGGUUCAUGAACUGGUACAAAAUUUUGACCCAGGUCAGUAUACUCACCCGAGUCAUAAUAUUGACCCAAGUUAGUAUAAGGAAGUCAAGAAGUUUGUCAAAUGAAGGUUUCUGAAAUCACCUAUCGUCAAUAGGUGACAAAAGCAUUUUUGUAGAUCGCUCUAAGGUUCCUUGUAUCGAAUUCAAAUUUCCUAAGAAGAUUUUCGAGUUCAUGAAUGACCCCUUGUACAUCACUCGGGACGGAUCGGUGAAAAAAAAAGAGACAACUCACAAAUUUUCUUCUAUUUUUUUGAAUGUUGACAAAAACAAAUCACGCAGCCAUUUUCUGUAGUGCAAUCACGCCUUUAUAUAAAUAGUCGGCACACGGUGAACGAUGUUUAUUUCUGAGUUUUCACUGCACGACCAGUCUAUAGUAUUGUGAAUAUUGUAUAUGUAUUUAUAAAAGUCAAGAUCUGUGAAUAAAGAGCACGUGUUACAGUUUAUUUCAAUAGCGUAUUUUGCAUCUAGUCGGUAUGCAUCAAACAGAUUCUCUUGACCGUACUGGUAUGAGUUAUUUGUAAACUUUAAGAACUUAUGAAAGACUUGUGGUACAUUUUUUUUGUUCUUUGGGUUGAUUUGUUGUUUUCCAUGCAACAUAAAAUUUAUCUUGCGUUGACUACUACUGACUUGAUAUGAUUUGUUUUUUGACGUCUUCCUUGUUUAACCCCCAUUGUCUUGGACAUGACCACGAGGAUCGUGUGAAAUAAAAAAAAACAAAUGUUACUUAAUAUUCGACAGAA